Molecule: long non-coding RNA, 616 nt
Organism: Dreissena polymorpha
Lineage: Eukaryota; Metazoa; Mollusca; Bivalvia; Myida; Dreissenidae
Exons: 3
Source: RefSeq, a predicted model, not a curated record
GCAUACCAAAGUUAUAACAACUUUAACAUUUUUAUAUUGAAGGUCACAGUGACCUUCACCUUCAAAUGAAUGACCUUGAAAUGACCAGUGGUCAUCUGUUAAUCCUGGCCAACCUUCAUGUCAAGUUUGAAGACUCUAGGUCCAAGCAUACCAAAGUUAUAACAACUUUAACAUUUUUACAUUCAAGGUCACAGUGACCUUGACCUUCAAAUGAAUGACCUUGAAAUGUCCAGUGGUUACUUACUAGUUCUGGCCAACCUUCAUGUCAAGUUUCAAGACUCUAGGUCCAAGCAUACCAAAGUUAUAACAACUUUAACAUUUUUAUAUUGAAGGUCACAGUGACCUUCACCUUCAAAUGAAUGACCUUGAAAUGACCAGUGGUCAUCUGUUAAUCCUGGCCAACCUUCAUGUCAAGUUUGAAGACUCUAGGUCCAAGCAUACCAAAGUUAUAACAACUUUAACAUUUUUUAUAUUGAAGGUCACAGUGACCUUGACCUUCAAAUGAAUGACCUUGAAAUGACCAGUGGUCAUCUGUUAAUCCUGGCCAACCUUCAUGUCAAGUUUGAAGACUCUAGGUCCAAGCAUACCAAAGUUAUACCAUGAAAUAAGAACUUUA